AUGGCUCCUCAACCAGCUCACCAAGCUCAACCCUAUCAAGCGCAUCCCGGACCUCGCCGCCCUCGCGGACCAGCACGGCGAUGCCAUCCUCCCGGGGAUCGACGUUUUCGUCACCACUGUCGACCCCGUGGACGAACCCGUCCUCUACACUGUCAACACCGUCCUCUCCAUCCUCGCCGCCGACUACCCCAUCGACAAGUACGCCUGCUACCUCUCAGAUGA
RNAcentral lists this ribosomal RNA (222 nucleotides) under Triticum aestivum (bread wheat). RNAcentral describes it as "partial small subunit ribosomal RNA". Lineage: Eukaryota; Viridiplantae; Streptophyta; Magnoliopsida; Poales; Poaceae. The record is from RNAcentral.